RNAcentral lists this ribosomal RNA (234 nucleotides) under uncultured bacterium. RNAcentral's name for it is "partial 16S ribosomal RNA". It matches the Rfam family "Bacterial small subunit ribosomal RNA", at positions 524 to 758 of the family's 1533-position model. The record is from RNAcentral.
UACAGGGGGGGCAAGCGUUGUUCGGAAUUACUGGGCGUAAAGGGCUCGUAGGCGGCCAACUAAGUCAUACGUGAAAUCCCUCAGCUUAACUGGGGAACUGCGUGUGAUACUGGAUGGCUUGGAUUUGGGAGAGGGAUGCGGAAUUCCAGGUGUAGAGGUGAAAUUCGUAGAUAUUCGCAAGAACACCAAUGGCGAAAGCAGCUCUCUGGGACGGUACUGACGCUGAGAGCGAAA